UACAGAGGGUGCGAGCGUUAAUCGGAAUUACUGGGCGUAAAGCGUGCGUAGACGGUUACGUAAGUCGGGUGUGAAAGCCCCGGGCUCAACCUGGGAAUUGCAUUCGAGACUGCGUAGCUAGGGUGCGGAAGAGGGAAGCGGAAUUUCGGGUGUAGCGGUGAAAUGCGUAGAUAUCCGGAAGAACACCAGUGGCGAAGGCGGCUCACUGGACGACUGUUGACGCUGAGGUGCGAAAGCGUGGGGAGCAAACAGG
RNAcentral lists this ribosomal RNA (253 nucleotides) under uncultured bacterium. RNAcentral describes it as "partial 16S ribosomal RNA". It matches the Rfam family "Bacterial small subunit ribosomal RNA", at positions 524 to 776 of the family's 1533-position model. The record is from RNAcentral.